CUCCGGGGAUAACAGGCUGAUACCGCCCAAGAGUUCAUAUCGACGGCGGUGUUUGGCACCUCGAUGUCGGCUCAUCACAUCCUGGGGCUGAAGUAGGUCCCAAGGGUACGGCUGUUCGCCGUUUAAAGUGGUACGCGAGCUGGGUUUAGAACGUCGUGAGACAGUUCGGUCCCUAUCUGCCGUGGGCGCUGGAGAAUUGAGGGGGGCUGCUCCUAGUACGAGAGGACCGGAGUGGACGCAUCACUGGUGUUCGGGUUGUCAUGCCAAUGGCAUUGCCCGGUAGCUAAAUGCGGAAAAGAUAAGUGCUGAAAGCAUCU
Molecule: ribosomal RNA, 317 nt
Filed under: Bacillus cereus
Lineage: Bacteria; Bacillati; Bacillota; Bacilli; Caryophanales; Bacillaceae
Description: bacterial LSU rRNA
Rfam family: Bacterial large subunit ribosomal RNA
Source: RNAcentral